This 253-nucleotide ribosomal RNA is filed under the name uncultured bacterium. RNAcentral describes it as "partial 16S ribosomal RNA". It matches the Rfam family "Bacterial small subunit ribosomal RNA", at positions 524 to 776 of the family's 1533-position model. The record is from RNAcentral.
UACGUAGGGGGCAAGCGUUGUCCGGAAUCAUUGGGCGUAAAGCGCGUGUAGGCGGUUUCGCACGUCCGGUGUGAAAGCCCAGGGCUCAACCCUGGAAGUGCACUGGAUACGACGGAGCUGGAGUACUGAAGAGGAGAGCGGAAUUCCCGGUGUAGAGGUGAAAUUCGUAGAUAUCGGGAGGAACACCUGUGGCGAAGGCGCCUUGCUGGCCAAUUUCUGACGCUGAGGCGCGAAAGCGUGGGGAGCAAACAGG